UGAGUUUGAUCCUGGCUCAGAGCUAAUGCUAGCAGCAGGCCUAACACAUGCAAGUUGAGCGGGCUCAGUCUAAACAUGGUGAGCCUAGCGGCAUACGGGUGAGUAAUAUGUAAGCACCUGCCUUGUUCAAUGGGAUAGGCCGUGCUAAGCGUGCUAAUACCACAUGAUUCCUGUAUCAGGUAAAGAGCUAUUGGAACAAGAUGGGCUUAUGUUAGAUUAGCUAGUUGGCACGGCUAAUAACCUGCCAAGGCAAUGAUCUAUAGCUGGUCUGGGAGGACGAACAGCCACAUUGGGACUGAGACAUGGCCCAGACUCCUAUCGGGGGAGGCAGCAGUGAGGAAUAUUGGACAAUGGGCGCAAGCCUGAUCCAGCUAUGUUGCGUGAGUGAUGAAGGUCAUAGCGAUUGUAAAGCCCUUUUAUUGGCCAAUCAUAGUGAUAUAGCCGAUGAAUAAGCUCCGGCCAACUCCGUGCCAGCAGCCGCGGUAAUACGGGGGGAGCAAGUGUUGUUCAGUUUAACUGGGCGUAAAGUGCGCGUAGGUGGCCUAGCAAGUUGCUGCUAAACCUUGAGGCCCAACCUCAUUACAACUGCAAUACUGCUAGGCUAAGGGCAUGGCGAUGAGUGAACGGAAUUCCAAGUGUAGAGGUUAAAUUCGUUGAUAUUUGGAGGACCACCGGAAGCAAAAGCGGUUCACUGUGCCAUGGCCGACGCUGAUUGUGCGAAAGCGUGGGUAGCAAACAGGAUUAGAUACCCUGGUAGUCCACGCUGUAAACGAUGAGUGCUAAUAGCAGGGCUCCAUUGCUUUCAUUGCUUUGUGUCCUAUUAUACAGCUAACGCGUUAAGCACUCCGCCAGGGUACUACGGUCGCAAGGCUGAAACCCAAAGGAAUUGACGGAGACCUGAACAAGCGGUGGAGCAUGUGGUUUAAUUCGAAACUACACGAAGAACCUUACCAGCCCUUGACAUUUUAAGCUAAGUAUUACUGGCAGUUAUGUGCUCAGUAUAUGCUUUUAACAGGUGCUGCAUGGCUGUCGUCAGCUCGUGUCGUGAGAUGUACGGUUAAGUCCUGUAACGAGCGCAACCCUUGCCCCUAGUUGCUUAAUAUAUAGCUCUCUAGGGGGAAGAAGCAUCUAAUUGUAACUUAGAGGACGGAGGAUAACGUCAAGUCAUCAUGGCCCUUAUGGGCUGGGCCACACACAUGCUACAAUGGUGGGCACAGAGGGCCGCAAUGCCGCGAGGCUGAGCAAAACCUUAAAACCCAUCUCAGUUCAGAUUGCACCUCUGUAAUUCGAGUGCAUGAAGCUGGAAUCGCUAGUAAUCGCAGAUCAGCAUGCUGCGGUGAAUACGUUCCCAGGUCUAGUACAUACUGCCCGUCACGCCCCGGGAGCUGACCAGCUUUAAGCUGUGUAUUAAUGCCAAGAUGAGUACUGGCCAGUGACUGGGGCGAAGUCGUAACAAGGUAGCCGUAGGUGAACCUGUGGCUG
RNAcentral lists this ribosomal RNA (1482 nucleotides) under Candidatus Hodgkinia cicadicola. RNAcentral describes it as "bacterial SSU rRNA". It matches the Rfam family "Bacterial small subunit ribosomal RNA". The record is from RNAcentral. Lineage: Bacteria; Pseudomonadati; Pseudomonadota; Alphaproteobacteria; Hyphomicrobiales.